UACGUAGGGUGCAAGCGUUGUCCGGAAUUAUUGGGCGUAAAGAGCUCGUAGGCGGUCUGUCGCGUCGGCUGUGAAAACUCGGGGCUCAACCCCGAGCCUGCAGUCGAUACGGGCAGACUAGAGUGCGGUAGGGGAGACUGGAAUUCCUGGUGUAGCGGUGGAAUGCGCAGAUAUCAGGAGGAACACCGGUGGCGAAGGCGGGUCUCUGGGCAGUAACUGACGCUGAGGAGCGAAAGCGUGGGGAGCGAACAGG
RNAcentral lists this ribosomal RNA (253 nucleotides) under uncultured bacterium. RNAcentral's name for it is "partial 16S ribosomal RNA". It matches the Rfam family "Bacterial small subunit ribosomal RNA", at positions 524 to 776 of the family's 1533-position model. The record is from RNAcentral.